Molecule: ribosomal RNA, 844 nt
Filed under: Chryseobacterium cucumeris
Lineage: Bacteria; Pseudomonadati; Bacteroidota; Flavobacteriia; Flavobacteriales; Weeksellaceae
Description: bacterial SSU rRNA
Rfam family: Bacterial small subunit ribosomal RNA
Source: RNAcentral
GCUAGCCGGAGCCCUACACAUGCAAGCCGAGCGGUAGAGAUCUUUCGGGAUCUUGAGAGCGGCGUACGGGUGCGGAACACGUGUGCAACCUGCCUUUAUCUGGGGGAUAGCCUUUCGAAAGGAAGAUUAAUACCCCAUAAUAUACUGAAUGGCAUCAUUCGGUAUUGAAAACUCCGGUGGAUAGAGAUGGGCACGCGCAAGAUUAGAUAGUUGGUGAGGUAACGGCUCACCAAGUCUACGAUCUUUAGGGGGCCUGAGAGGGUGAUCCCCCACACUGGUACUGAGACACGGACCAGACUCCUACGGGAGGCAGCAGUGAGGAAUAUUGGACAAUGGGUGAGAGCCUGAUCCAGCCAUCCCGCGUGAAGGACGACGGCCCUAUGGGUUGUAAACUUCUUUUGUAUAGGGAUAAACCUACCCUCGUGAGGGUAGCUGAAGGUACUAUACGAAUAAGCACCGGCUAACUCCGUGCCAGCAGCCGCGGUAAUACGGAGGGUGCAAGCGUUAUCCGGAUUUAUUGGGUUUAAAGGGUCCGUAGGCGGAUCUGUAAGUCAGUGGUGAAAUCUCACAGCUUAACUGUGAAACUGCCAUUGAUACUGCAGGUCUUGAGUGUUGUUGAAGUAGCUGGAAUAAGUAGUGUAGCGGUGAAAUGCAUAGAUAUUACUUAGAACACCAAUUGCGAAGGCAGGUUACUAAGCAACAACUGACGCUGAUGGACGAAAGCGUGGGGAGCGAACAGGAUUAGAUACCCUGGUAGUCCACGCCGUAAACGAUGCUAACUCGUUUUUGGAAUGUAAGUUUCAGAGACUAAGCCGAAAGUGAUAAGUUAGCCCACCUGGGGAGU